GUUGUAGCUCAGUGGUAGAGCGCUUGCUUCACAUAUAUGAAGCCCUGGGUUUGAUCCUCAACACUACA
RNAcentral lists this transfer RNA (68 nucleotides) under Marmota monax (woodchuck). Its description in RNAcentral is "tRNA.Val". Lineage: Eukaryota; Metazoa; Chordata; Mammalia; Rodentia; Sciuridae. The record is from RNAcentral.